UCCCUUGUGGCUCAGUUGGUAGAGCAUGGUGUUUGCAACGCCAGGGUUGUGGGUUUGAUUUCCACGGGGGGCC
Molecule: non-coding RNA, 73 nt
Organism: Salmo salar (Atlantic salmon)
Lineage: Eukaryota; Metazoa; Chordata; Actinopteri; Salmoniformes; Salmonidae
Source: Rfam